RNAcentral lists this ribosomal RNA (532 nucleotides) under Trametes gibbosa. Its description in RNAcentral is "eukaryotic LSU rRNA". The stretch from base 158 to 311 matches the Rfam family "5.8S ribosomal RNA". The record is from RNAcentral. Lineage: Eukaryota; Fungi; Basidiomycota; Agaricomycetes; Polyporales; Polyporaceae.
UACGCUCUCCAGGCAAUGUGCAGGCGCCUGACGCAUCCUCACAAUGUGCAUCCGUAGUCUAACGUGGUUCUAGUCGGUUCCGCGGACAUUCCCAGUUAUGUAUACUAUAAACACUUUAAAGUAACAGAAUGUAAACGCGUCUAACGCAUUUUAAUACAACUUUCAGCAACGGAUCUCUUGGCUCUCGCAUCGAUGAAGAACGCAGCGAAAUGCGAUAAGUAAUGUGAAUUGCAGAAUUCAGUGAAUCAUCGAAUCUUUGAACGCACCUUGCGCUCCUUGGUAUUCCGAGGAGCAUGCCUGUUUGAGUGUCAUGAAAUUCUCAACCCAUAAAUCCUUGUGGAAGUAUGGGCUUGGAUUUGGAGGUUUGCUGGGUCCCCUGGGGUCCGGCUCCUCUCGAACGCAUUAGCUUGAUUCCGUGCGGAUCGGCUCUCAGUGUGAUAAUUAUCUACGCUGUGACCGUGAAGCGUUUGGCGAGCUUCCAACCGUCUUUUUUGGACAACCCUUAUGACAUCUGACCUCAAAUCCAGGUAGG